GACGAACGCUGGCGGCGUGCUUAACACAUGCAAGUCGAACGCUGAAGCUCAGCUUUUGUUGGGUGGAUGAGUGGCGAACGGGUGAGUAACACGUGAGUAACCUGCCUCCUUCUUUGGGAUAACGCCCGGAAACGGGUGCUAAUACUGGAUAUUCACUGGUCUUCGCAUGGGGGUUGGUGGAAAGGGUUUUUCUGGUGGGGGAUGGGCUCGCGGCCUAUCAGCUUGUUGGUGGGGUGAUGGCCUACCAAGGCUUUGACGGGUAGCCGGCCUGAGAGGGUGACCGGCAACAUUGGGACUGAGAUACGGCCCAGACUCCGACGGGGGGGAGCAGUGGGGAAUAUGGCACAAUGGGCGAAAGCCUGAUGCAGCGACGCCGCGUGAGGGAUGGGGGCCGUCGGGUUGUGAACCUCUGUCGCACAUGGUCAAGCCGCAACAAUGGUUGUGGUGAGGGUAGUGGGUAAAGAAGCGCCGGCUAACUACGUG
This 483-nucleotide ribosomal RNA is filed under the name uncultured bacterium. RNAcentral describes it as "partial 16S ribosomal RNA". It matches the Rfam family "Bacterial small subunit ribosomal RNA", at positions 28 to 507 of the family's 1533-position model. The record is from RNAcentral.